This 267-nucleotide ribosomal RNA is filed under the name Phytopseudomonas straminea. Its description in RNAcentral is "Pseudomonas straminea partial 16S ribosomal RNA". It matches the Rfam family "Bacterial small subunit ribosomal RNA", at positions 524 to 796 of the family's 1533-position model. Lineage: Bacteria; Pseudomonadati; Pseudomonadota; Gammaproteobacteria; Pseudomonadales; Pseudomonadaceae. The record is from RNAcentral.
UACAGAGGGUGCAAGCGUUAAUCGGAAUUACUGGGCGUAAAGCGCGCGUAGGUGGUUUGUUAAGUUGGAUGUGAAAGCCCCGGGCUCAACCUGGGAACUGCAUCCAAAACUGGCAAGCUAGAGUACGGUAGGGGGUGGUGGAAUUUCCUGUGUAGCGGUGAAAUGCGUAGAUAUAGGAAGGAACACCAGUGGCGAAGGCGACCACCUGGACUGACACUGAGGUGCGAAAGCGUGGGGAGCAAACAGGAUUAGAUACCCCCGUAGUCC